Molecule: unclassified non-coding RNA, 90 nt
Filed under: Pseudomonas brenneri
Lineage: Bacteria; Pseudomonadati; Pseudomonadota; Gammaproteobacteria; Pseudomonadales; Pseudomonadaceae
Source: RNAcentral
GGUGGGAGCGGGCUUGCUCGCGAUAGCGUUGUGGCAGUCGGUAUAUAAAUUGACUGAUCCGCCGCCUUCGCGAGCAAGCCCGCUCCCACA